Molecule: ribosomal RNA, 454 nt
Filed under: uncultured bacterium
Lineage: Bacteria
Description: partial 16S ribosomal RNA
Rfam family: Bacterial small subunit ribosomal RNA
Source: RNAcentral
GAUGAACGCUGACAGAAUGCUUAACACAUGCAAGUCCACUUGAACUUCGGUUUGGGUGGCGGACGGGUGAGUAACGCGUAAAGAACUUGCCUCACAGCUAGGGACAACAUUUGGAAACGAAUGCUAAUACUUGAUAUUAUGAUUUUAGGGCAUCCUAGAAUUAUGAAAGCUAUAUGCGCUGUGAGAGAGCUUUGCGUCCCAUUAGCUAGUUGGAGAGGUAACGGCUCACCAAGGCGAUGAUGGGUAGCCGGCCUGAGAGGGUGAACGGCCACAAGGGGACUGAGACACGGCCCUUACUCCUACGGGAGGCAGCAGUGGGGAAUAUUGGACAAUGGACCAAGAGUCUGAUCCAGCAAUUCUGUGUGCACGAUGAAGUUUUUCGGAAUGUAAAGUGCUUUCAGUUGGGAAGAAAAAAAUGACGGUACCAACAGAAGAAGUGACGGCUAAAUACGUG